RNAcentral lists this long non-coding RNA (578 nucleotides) under Homo sapiens (human). RNAcentral describes it as "non-protein coding lnc-CSMD1-1:20". Lineage: Eukaryota; Metazoa; Chordata; Mammalia; Primates; Hominidae. The record is from RNAcentral.
ACAGUUCUUAACGGCCGCGCGUCCAGAGUCUGUUCCUUCUGAUGUUCGGAUGUGUUCGGAGUUUCUUCCUUCUGGUGGGUUCGUGGUCUCGCUGGCUCGGGAGUGAAGCUGCAGACGUUUGCGGUAAUUCAGUUCCAACCCCUUCAGUGACAGCAGAGAGACCCAGGCCACCUUCCUUGAGGAUUUCGGAGCUGCAGCCCACAGCCAGGGCCAGAGUGGACUCAGCUCUCCAACCCACGCCCAUGAAUCUCUGCGACUAAAGAUUUCCCCAGACGCUCCCAGGUUCCUCCUGAUCUGCAGCAUUGUCGUCCCUGCCACUGACCAGGAAGCCCUCUGUGCUCCCAUAGCCCCUUCAGAAACCUGUGACUUCCUGAGUCCUAAGUCUUCAGCAGAAACAGCAGCUGCCCCACGCCUUGAGCGGCAGCAGGACCCUUUCUGCCCUGAUCUCCACUCAGCGCUGGAAGCCUGGCUCACAUUCUCUCUACUCACAUCAGCCUGAUGUCUUCAAGCCAGGAUUUCUUGGGGUUUAUCUCACCAGAUGCAAUCAACUCAAGUUCCCUCUGUGGCGCCUUCUCAUU